UGAGGAAUAUUGGGCAAUGCCCGCAAGGGUGACCCAGCAACGCCGCGUGGAGGAUGAAUGUCGUAAGAUUGUAAACUCCUGUUAGAGGGGAAGAAUAGUACCGGUUGGACCGGUAUAUGACUGUACCCUCAGAGAAAGCCCCGGCUAACUACGUGCCAGCAGCCGCGGUAAUACGUAGGGGGCAAGCGUUGUCCGGAUUUACUGGGUGUAAAGGGCGCGCAGGCGGGAUAAAAAGUCAGUGGGGAAAUCCUACAGCUUAACUGUAGAACUGCCUUUGAUACUUUUAUUCUUGAGUUCGGGAGAGAGAGACGGAAUUCCAGGUGUAGUGGUGAAAUACGUAGAUAUCUGGAAGAACACCAGUUGCGAAGGCGGUCUCUUGGUCCGACACUGACGCUGAGGCGCGAAAGCGUGGGGAGCAAACA
Molecule: ribosomal RNA, 422 nt
Filed under: uncultured bacterium
Lineage: Bacteria
Description: bacterial SSU rRNA
Rfam family: Bacterial small subunit ribosomal RNA
Source: RNAcentral